AAUCCUGUGCAAUGGAGCACAUGGCUUAUGCAUCGAUGAAGCCCGCGGCAAAAAGCGAUAUGUAAUGAGAUUCGUUAGCUUCGAGAUUCAUCGAAUUGGUGAACACAUACUGGACCUCUCUCGAGGUACUUGCGUUAGAGUGUCAGUUUUUUUGUAGUAUUGAUCUCUGAAAAAU
This 175-nucleotide ribosomal RNA is filed under the name Naegleria chilensis. RNAcentral's name for it is "5.8S ribosomal RNA". The stretch from base 1 to 145 matches the Rfam family "5.8S ribosomal RNA". Rfam says of the family: 5.8S ribosomal RNA (5.8S rRNA) is a component of the large subunit of the eukaryotic ribosome. It is transcribed by RNA polymerase I as part of the 45S precursor that also contains 18S and 28S rRNA. Functionally, it is thought that 5.8S rRNA may be involved in ribosome translocation. The record is from RNAcentral. Lineage: Eukaryota; Heterolobosea; Eutetramitea; Acrasida; Naegleriidae.